GGCAAAAUGAGAGUCCAACUGUCUCUUAUAAUAAAUCAAUUAAACUGAUCCCUCAGUACAAAAGCUGAGAUAUCCACAUAAGACCAGAAGACCCUGUGAAGCUUUAAUUACCCUAUUAAACCACAUAAUAGCUAAUUUCGGUUGGGGCGACCUUGGAACAAAAAAGAACUUCCAAACAUACGGCUAAAACCGCCAAAGGCACACAAGCCUCUAAUAGACCCAGUAUAUCUGAUAAAUGAACCAAGUUACUCCAGGGAUAACAGCGCCAUCUUCUUCAAGAGCCCAUAUCAAAAAGAAGGUUUACGACCUCGAUGUUGGAUCAGGACAUCCUAGCAAUGCAGCCGUUACUAAGGGUUCGUUUGUUCAACGAUUAACAGUCCUACGUGA
This 387-nucleotide ribosomal RNA is filed under the name Cerastes cerastes (horn viper). RNAcentral's name for it is "partial 16S ribosomal RNA". It matches the Rfam family "Bacterial large subunit ribosomal RNA", at positions 1998 to 2603 of the family's 2925-position model. Lineage: Eukaryota; Metazoa; Chordata; Lepidosauria; Squamata; Viperidae. The record is from RNAcentral.